Molecule: ribosomal RNA, 460 nt
Filed under: uncultured bacterium
Lineage: Bacteria
Description: partial 16S ribosomal RNA
Rfam family: Bacterial small subunit ribosomal RNA
Source: RNAcentral
CCUACGGGUGGCAGCAGUGAGGAAUAUUGGUCAAUGGACGAGAGUCUGAACCAGCCAAGUAGCGUGAAGGAUGACUGCCCUAUGGGUUGUAAACUUCUUUUAUAUGGGAAUAAAAUGUUCCACGUGUGGGAUUUUGUAUGUACCAUAUGAAUAAGGAUCGGCGAACUCCGUGCCAGCAGCCGCGGUAAUACGGAGGAUCCGAGCGUUAUCCGGAUUUAUUGGGUUUAAAGGGAGCGUAGGUGGAUUGUUAAGUCAGUUGUGAAAGUUUGCGGCUCAACCGUAGAAUUGCAGUUGAAACUGGCAGUCUUGAGUACAGUAGAGGUGAGCGGAAUUCGUGGUGUAGCGGUGAAAUGCUUAGAUAUCACGAAGAACUCCGAUUGCGAAGGCAGUUCACUGGACUGCAACUGACACUGAGGCUCGAAAGUGUGGGUAUCAAACAGGAUUAGAUACCCGGGUAGUC